This 301-nucleotide ribosomal RNA is filed under the name uncultured bacterium. RNAcentral's name for it is "partial 16S ribosomal RNA". It matches the Rfam family "Bacterial small subunit ribosomal RNA", at positions 509 to 807 of the family's 1533-position model. The record is from RNAcentral.
CAGUAGCCGCGGUAAUACGAAGGGUGCAAGCGUUACUCGGAAUUACUGGGCGUAAAGCGUGCGUAGGUGGUUGUUUAAGUCUGCUGUGAAAGCCCUGGGCUCAACCUGGGAAUUGCAGUGGAUGCUGGGCGACUAGAGUAAGGUAGAGGAUAGUGGAAUUUCCGGUGUAGCAGUGAAAUGCGUAGAGAUCGGAAGGAACAUCUGUGGCGAAGGCGACUAUCUGGGCCAUUACUGACACUGAGGCACGAAAGCGUGGGGAGCAAACAGGAUUAGAUACCCGCGUAGUCCCUGUCUCUUAUAC